UCCUGGCAGAAGGGGGAAAGGCACAAAAGAACAGCCAUGAAACCCUAUCCCUGUGCUUGGCCUGGAGCAAAGUGUUUUGUGGGUGUUGAAAGGUGUAAUCACUCAGGUUUUACUUAGGUUCAAAAGCAUUUUGUUCUUGAUCACCAGAGUUGAAUGCUCCUGCAUUUUUUCCCUCUGUCAAGAAAGCCUGGGCCACCCCUACUAAGAGCCCCCAAGUGAGUCGGCAUUGAAGGAAACAGCGCCCCGGGCUUCGGACUUUGGAGCUGAACACAAAUGCUCCUUAUGGUCAGUGUGUGUGCCCUGGCUGCCCUGAAUCCAGGGAGCUGGGGGUAAGCUGCAGUCUGUGAAUUUUGCUAGAGGAAAGAAAUGUUUCCUUCCCUGCUACCUCAAAUCCCUGACUAGCACAGAGAUGGGUUUUGUGACUUCCCUGGUCUGUCCCUCCUAUGGGGACAAAUGCCAGGCCCUCUUUCCCUCCUCCCCUUGAGCUAGAGGGCCAACCCUCCAGAGUCUACUCACCCAAUCCGUAGCCUGGCAAGGAGGCCCCUGGUAAAGCCUUUCUCCUCACCUGGAAGCCUUGCAGAAGCUCCCCUGCCCCAGUCCCCAGAUUAGCCCUUCCAGAGCCUCUUCCCAUCCUCUGCCUCCCCUGGCUCCUCCUCCCUCCCUUUGUGCUGGGAACCCUUCAGGGCACGCACCUGGGCUUCUGUGGCCUCCAGGAUGGCAGGCAGACUACUCUGGAGGGCCUGAGGCUCCAGACACUUCCUCCCCUCAAUAAGCAAAGCUUUGGGAGACUGCUUUCUUGCCACCAACCCAGGAACCUGUCUCCAUGGCAGCACACACGCAGCACCUGGGGCUGCCAGGUGGCCCAGUGUGCAGCCUCUUGAGCACACCUGCCUGGAGCCAAGGCCCAAGAGCUUCCUGGGCGGCGUGGGGAGGGAGAUGGGGGACCUGAGUUCCCCCCAGGCCAUGGCAACUAAUUUAACCUGGAAGCUAAGCACCCGCAAGAUUGUAGGCAGUCCCUUCAAGACCUGGAAUCCCUGGUCUGGAAAGAUGCAAACACCUUCUACCUGCCCACCUCCCCUCAGCCUUCAGUUACUACUACCACCAGGACGAUGCCAGAGGGGGCCUUGGUGGCCAGAGCCAAUCUGCACAUCAAAGACCUGAGCUUCCAUCUGGUCUCUGCACAUGCUGUGACCCUGGGCAAGUUGCUUUUUCUUCUCUGUAGAACACAGUUUCCCCAUCACAGAACAAAACCUACACGAAACCUUCUGCAGAGGAGCUGGUUUCAGUUGGCACCUGAGUUGCAGCAUCCCUUGUGGCUGCUGGAAGUUGUGUUCCCUGUUUAAUAAAAGGAAGAAUACAUACUGUUAAUUUUGUUAGGUACAAUAAUGGUAGUAUGAUGUUAAAAAUAAAUUCUUUUUUUAGACGAA
This is a long non-coding RNA of Callithrix jacchus (white-tufted-ear marmoset), 1427 nucleotides long. RefSeq lists it as uncharacterized. NCBI's taxonomy places the organism in Eukaryota, Metazoa, Chordata, Mammalia, Primates, Cebidae. The record is from RefSeq and is a predicted model, not a curated record.